CCAGACUCGAGCUCUAUGAUGAGCAAGAGAAUUCCGACCAACUUCGAACAAGCUUAGAUUUGCUUGAAGAAAUAAGAGAAAAAGCUUGAAUCAUGAUGGCAUCAUACCAACAAUGGAUGGCUCGUUACUAUAAUGCCCAAGUUAAGGCAAAAGCCUUUCAACUUAGGGAUCUUGUUAUGAGAUGAGUUGAGGUGUCCAGGCCCAUGGAACAAGAUAAGUUUACGC
This 225-nucleotide long non-coding RNA is filed under the name Elaeis guineensis (African oil palm). RNAcentral describes it as "long non-coding RNA (EGUI_LNC012434)". Lineage: Eukaryota; Viridiplantae; Streptophyta; Magnoliopsida; Arecales; Arecaceae. The record is from RNAcentral.